Molecule: non-coding RNA, 72 nt
Organism: Cnephaeus nilssonii (northern bat)
Lineage: Eukaryota; Metazoa; Chordata; Mammalia; Chiroptera; Vespertilionidae
Source: the annotation of a GenBank genome assembly
AGGGUUGUAGUUUAGGGGUAGAGCUUAUGUUUUGCAUGAAUGAGGCCCUGAGUUCAAACCCUGGCAUCUCCA